CCGCUCCCGCGGCAUAUGGAGGUUCCCAGGCUAGGGGUCCAAUUGCAGCCAUAGCCACCAGCCUAUGCCAGAGCCAAAGCAACACGGGAUCCGAGCUGAGUCUGUGACCUACACCACAGCUCACGGCAAUGCUGGAUCCUUAACCCACUGAGCAAGGCCAGGGAUUGAACCCACAACCUCAUGGUUUCUAGUCGGAUUCGUUAACCACUGCGCCACGACUGGAACUCCCAAGUAGAAUCAUAAUACUAACCGAGAUAUCCACAGCUCCCAAGUCCAUGUCCCAGACACUCUCACACUGGUGCCUCAAAGCAAUAGCAGAGCAAUUGCAAAGCUCUUUACUCUGGAGGUCCUUCUCCAAGGGGGAGAAGGCUCUGGAAACUUGGAGGUCUCAUGAACCCCCUGGCUUCCCACCCAAAGCAACUUCAUGAUAUAUUAUCAGCUUCUAACAGUCACAAGUACUGAAGUCAAAAUUGGUCCCUUGGAAGUUUAUAGCUCAAGAACAUAAAAUCAUCUAGUACAGGACAAAAGCCACCAUGAUAAAGAAGGCAGUGACAUAUCUUUAAAUCUGAGGCAACUGGUCAGGAGGUUCUCAGACCAGAAGUGAACAGUUGGCUGUGUGUUUUCUGCUUCCCAGUCACUGAGCUAUCGAGAGCCAAGAACUCUAGAAUGUGCCAAGGCCAGGCACAGGUGUAUGGGCAGAGCUGAAACCCUGAACGAACUUCUCCCCAUCACUUGCAUAACUUCCUUGGUCUGGGGUUUCUCAUACUUUCCGAGGGGGAAGUACGCUCCUCUUCCAUCUCCCCUUCUUCAUGAGGCACAGAGCAGCAGGAACCACUCAGCAACAGGGACUUGGCAGCUUCUAAAGGUCACGUUGCUGGCGGGCGCAGCUUGAGUUGAAGGGAUCGUAGACAUGCAGGCAAACGUCCAGAGCGUCACCAGUGCCCGGCCCUGAGCCACAGGGGAAGCCAGAGGGCCUGGAAAAUAGAUGCACAGACAUAGAAAACAAACUGACAUCACCCUUUUUGUAUCUUCGUUUGAUUAAGAUGUACCUUCCCCUCUAGAAAACAAGUCCUAUGAAGACAGGGACUUGGUUCACUGCUGUAUCCUCCGCACUUGUAGUAGUGCCCAGAGCUCAUUAAGUACUC
RNAcentral lists this long non-coding RNA (1145 nucleotides) under Sus scrofa (pig). RNAcentral's name for it is "lncRNA (ENSSSCG00060066598.1)". The record is from RNAcentral. Lineage: Eukaryota; Metazoa; Chordata; Mammalia; Artiodactyla; Suidae.